Molecule: long non-coding RNA, 993 nt
Organism: Zonotrichia leucophrys gambelii
Lineage: Eukaryota; Metazoa; Chordata; Aves; Passeriformes; Passerellidae
Exons: 2
Source: RefSeq, a predicted model, not a curated record
AGAGAGUCUUCUUCUGCCUGGGUUUAUCUUACUUUCUUUGCCCUCUUUCUCCUCUUACUUGCCCUUAGUUUUUGGUUGCUUGACUUUUCCUUUACUUCCAAUUUUACUUUUCCAAUUUUUUGCCAUCUAAAAUCCCACAGCCAGAAGAGAUGCCUGCAUUCUAAGAAUGUCACAACUAUUGCUUUUUCCAGGUGGCAUCUCUUGCAAGCCCAGAAAAGAAGUCCUGGUGCCCUUUAUCCACAUAUACACACCUGCUGUGCUUAAAUACUCACAGUAGAACAGAUCCUCAGUUUUGUUUGCUUUAACUGAGAAAAUCAUUAAUUCCCAGCUGAGAGAGGAGGAAGGAUGUAAUAGUCAAUCUGAGAAAACAAAGUCAAAACAGGAAUGCAGCUACAGACACUGUAACCACCUAACUUGGCAAGGAGAGGGAAGAAAUCCUCAUUCAUCACUGGGACUAUGCACUUUCUAUCUCAUCCUCUGUGGUGCUACAUACAGAAGAAACAUGCUUGCAACUAUGUGCGCAUGCAAAUGAGAGAUUGGAAAAAAUUGGACCAUGUUUUUCAGGAGGCUGUUCUCGAUCUGCAUAUUGUCAAGAAAGAGAUUGGUCUUCUAUCACUGAAAUAUCCUGGUUUUGCAGUCUUCCUCCUCCUUAUUAUUUUCUUCCUCCUCAUUUCUUUUCCCAUUUUUCACUUUCAAGGAACUAAAAAAAAUAAAAAAUCAUGCAUACAGGCAAAAUUAUCAUUAAAAAAGUGUAAACCUGGUUUUUCCUCUACUGAAGAUCUAUUUUGCUCAAUACAUGUCAAAAGUGUCAGAGACACUUUUUUGUCCCACAUCAAUUAAAAACUACUCAGAAAGUUGCAGAAGAGUAAGAUAUUAAGGACUUGGGAUAAAAUUUGCAGAAGAAAAGCAAAACCAUUGGCUUGAGGAAAUCCUGGAUUUCGCCUUCCAUUUUCUCACUAUGGCAGUAUUAAAAGUUUUUAAUGACAAAGGAAA